CGGGCCGCCCUCAGCCGCCCGGUGGUCACAUGGCGCCCCUACCGCAGCGUUGGGCUCUUGGCGCCGUGCCGGGUGUUGGUUUCGGGCAAGAUGGGCAUUGCGUCAGGUCUGGGGGUGCUCGGGCGGGCUGAGCUCAGCCGGAGAGAGAGGCGGAGUGUUUCCCGCCGGAUGACUGUUAAGGAGAAUUUGACUGGAAGGACAGUGCAUCUCUGCCAUGAGUGAAUAUCCAAGUGAGAGGAUGAAUUUACUUUAAAUAUAUGAUCAGAUUAGUUCUAAUUCCUUUCAUUGAUGGACAAGAAACAUAAAUUAGCAAUGGAAUUACUAGAAUUUUAAGCUGUGAUUCAGAAACCAGUGGAGUCACUGACUCACCAAUUCCUUCAAUCAAAGAACUAUUCAUUAAGUGUGGUUUGGGUUGGAGCUGCUGUUGACAACCUACCUACAGAUCUGCUGAGUGGCUUCAAAUUCCCAAAACAUUAAAGAAGCAGAAAAAUAGUUUGUUUCAUAGCACCAGGUGGAGCAGACACAGAUGCCAGUCCCCUUGCUUUGACUCCCAUGCCUUCUGAAUGGAAAGACAUUGCCCCUCCUUUUCACCCAAGCAGUGGAUGUUUUCUUAACUCCAAUUAUAAGUAUUGUAGCAUGCUUUAAAAAAAGAUUAAAAAAAAAUCAGGGAGUACUUUUUAUUCUUUAAGUGACGUCUUCAUAAAUGUCUUGCUCUUCAUCUGUUAUAACAUUAAAGAACUGGGAUUACUUAGUUUAGAAUAAUGAUGCAUAACAUGUAUCUUGAGCUAUUUAAAAUAGUUAAUAGUGUAAAGAAAAGCCCUCUAGCCCCCCUAGAACCUCUUCCUCUUGAUGAGACACAUUCUUUUGAGGGACUUUUUAUUUUCAGAUUCACUGGUGCUGACACUUGACACUUGAGGGAAUGAUGCAUUUGGUGCUAUUUGGACUCUUGAGUCCAUUCUCAGUACUUGUGCGUACACUGGGAGCUCACUCUAAGUGGAAAUUUGGACAUCACAUGAGGCUGUUUUGGCUACAAAGGGAACUUUAAAUACAGUGUAUUAAAAUAUUUUGGACACUUUCCCUUUGGGAUGUAUUUAUCCGUUAAUGAAAUCUGUGUGGAACUUCGGAACAGAUUCAUGGAGAAGUGCCCACAGGUUGUGCUCUAGUACAGGGUUUAAUUAAUGCGGUCACUCUGGGAGGUAUUGUUGUGGAGAGCCCAGGCAUAUGGUACAUUCAAGCAGCUCUUUGAAAUGCUUGUGAUACCAUCUCUGAAUUAGUAUGCAGAAUGCCUGUUUCUUAGGGGUUUAGUGUGCCUGGGAGUAGAGGGAUUUCAGUCUCCUGCUUUAAUCCAAUCUUGUUUUAUUGAAUUAUUUAUUAUUUGCAAGUGAUGGAAAAGGUUGGUUCAUGCUUCUAAGGAAUGGAUGUGAGAUGUUAUAGAGCGAAGCGCCUGUUUUUAAACUGGGGGCAGGAAUCCAACAUGCCACACUUGCUUUCUGUAUAAUUGAAAUAUAAACCAUGAGUGAAUAUGAAAAGAUCUUCGUGAUAUAAUUUAAAAUAGACCAAAAAAUUGAAUACCUUAGUAUUAAUAAUUUGUGCUUCAGUUGUUUUAAUUAGUUAUUUUUACUUUU
This is a long non-coding RNA of Pezoporus occidentalis (night parrot), 1625 nucleotides long. RefSeq lists it as uncharacterized. The record is from RefSeq and is a predicted model, not a curated record. The transcript is spliced from 3 exons. NCBI's taxonomy places the organism in Eukaryota, Metazoa, Chordata, Aves, Psittaciformes, Psittacidae.